This 301-nucleotide ribosomal RNA is filed under the name uncultured bacterium. Its description in RNAcentral is "partial 16S ribosomal RNA". It matches the Rfam family "Bacterial small subunit ribosomal RNA", at positions 509 to 808 of the family's 1533-position model. The record is from RNAcentral.
CAGUCGCCGCGGUAAUACGUAGGUCCCGAGCGUUGUCCGGAUUUAUUGGGCGUAAAGCGAGCGCAGGCGGUUAGAUAAGUCUGAAGUUAAAGGCUGUGGCUUAACCAUAGUACGCUUUGGAAACUGUUUAACUUGAGUGCAAGAGGGGAGAGUGGAAUUCCAUGUGUAGCGGUGAAAUGCGUAGAUAUAUGGAGGAACACCGGUGGCGAAAGCGGCUCUCUGGCUUGUAACUGACGCUGAGGCUCGAAAGCGUGGGGAGCAAACAGGAUUAGAGACCCCUCUAGUCCCUGUCUCUUAUACA